Molecule: ribosomal RNA, 497 nt
Filed under: uncultured bacterium
Lineage: Bacteria
Description: partial 16S ribosomal RNA
Rfam family: Bacterial small subunit ribosomal RNA
Source: RNAcentral
GAUGAACGCUGGCGGCGUGCCUAAUACAUGCAAGUCGAGCGAACGGACGAGAAGCUUGCUUCUCUGAUGUUAGCGGCGGACGGGUGAGUAACACGUGGAUGACCUACCUAUAAGACUGGGAUAACUUCGGGAAGCCGGAGCUAAUACCGGAUAAUAUUUUGAACCGCAUGGUUCAAAAGUGAAAGACGGUCUUGCUGUCACUUAUAGAUGGAUCCGCGCUGCAUUAGCUAGUUGGUAAGGUAACGGCUUACCAAGGCAACGAUGCAUAGCCGACCUGAGAGGGUGAUCGGCCACACUGGAACUGAGACACGGUCCAGACUCCUACGGGAGGCAGCAGUAGGGAAUCUUCCGCAAUGGGCGAAAGCCUGACGGAGCAACGCCGCGUGAGUGAUGAAGGUCUUCGGAUCGUAAAACUCUGUUAUUAGGGAAGAACAUAUGUGUAAGUAACUGUGCACAUCUUGACGGUACCUAAUCAGAAAGCCACGGCUAACUACGUG